AAAAACCAUCAAAACC
This 16-nucleotide small RNA is filed under the name Arabidopsis thaliana (thale cress). RNAcentral's name for it is "ATSL066550". The record is from RNAcentral. Lineage: Eukaryota; Viridiplantae; Streptophyta; Magnoliopsida; Brassicales; Brassicaceae.